CGCCUCUUGUCCACAUUAUAUAAGAGGUCCUGCCUGCCCAGUGAUUUUUAUUUAACGGCCGCGGUAUUCUGACCGUGCUAAGGUAGCGCAAUCACUUGUCUUUUAAAUGAAGACCUGUAUGAAUGGCAAAACGAGGGCUCAGCUGUCUCCUCUUUCCAGUCAAUGAAAUUGAUCUCCCCGUGCAGAAGCGGGGAUAUUUACAUAAGACGAGAAGACCCUGUGGAGCUUAAGACCAAGAGGCAGCCCACACAAGCCACUACCCCUUAAAAAUCAGGAUCCAAUGGCCCCUCCCUCCCUCUGUCUUCGGUUGGGGUGACCUUGGGGAAAUACAAAACCCCCAUGCGGAAUAGGAGCACACCCUUCAUUAACUUAGCUCCUUUCAGUUAGAGACACCUCUCUAGCAAUUAGAACAUCUAACCAUAAAUGACCCGGCCUAAGCCGACUAACGAACAAAGUUACCCCAGGGAUAACAGCGCAAUCUUCUUUUAGAGUCCAUAUCGACAAGAGGGUUUACGACCUCGAUGUUGGAUCAGGACAUCCUAAUGGUGUAGCAGCUAUUAAGGGUUCGUUUGUUCAACGAUUAAAGUCCU
Molecule: ribosomal RNA, 590 nt
Filed under: Actinopterygii sp. Srte27
Lineage: Eukaryota; Metazoa; Chordata
Description: partial 16S ribosomal RNA
Rfam family: Bacterial large subunit ribosomal RNA
Source: RNAcentral